CAGUGGGGAAUUUUCCGCAAUGGGCGAAAGCCUGACGGAGCAACGCCGCGUGAGGGAGGAGGGUCUUUGGAUUGUAAACCUCUUUUCUCAAGGAAGAAGUUCUGACGGUACUUGAGGAAUCAGCCUCGGCUAACUCCGUGCCAGCAGCCGCGGUAAUACGGGGGAGGCAAGCGUUAUCCGGAAUUAUUGGGCGUAAAGCGUCCGCAGGUGGUCAGCCAAGUCUGCUGUCAAAUCAGGUUGCUUAACGACCUAAAGGCGGUGGAAACUGGCAGACUAGAGAGCAGUAGGGGUAGCAGGAAUUCCCAGUGUAGCGGUGAAAUGCGUAGAGAUUGGGAAGAACAUCGGUGGCGAAAGCGUGCUACUGGGCUGUAUCUGACACUCAGGGGCGAAAGCUAGGGGAGCGAAAGGGAUUAGAUACCCCUGUAGUC
Molecule: ribosomal RNA, 428 nt
Filed under: uncultured bacterium
Lineage: Bacteria
Description: bacterial SSU rRNA
Rfam family: Bacterial small subunit ribosomal RNA
Source: RNAcentral